RNAcentral lists this ribosomal RNA (1397 nucleotides) under Microbacterium arborescens. RNAcentral's name for it is "bacterial SSU rRNA". Lineage: Bacteria; Bacillati; Actinomycetota; Actinomycetes; Micrococcales; Microbacteriaceae. The record is from RNAcentral.
ACCCUGCAAGUCGAACGGUGAAGCAGAGCUUGCUCUGUGGAUCAGUGGCGAACGGGUGAGUAACACGUGAGCAAUCUGCCCCUGACUCUGGGAUAAGCGCUGGAAACGGCGUCUAAUACCGGAUACGAGCUGCGACCGCAUGGUCAGUAGCUGGAAAGAAUUUCGGUCAGGGAUGAGCUCGCGGCCUAUCAGCUUGUUGGUGAGGUAAUGGCUCACCAAGGCGUCGACGGGUAGCCGGCCUGAGAGGGUGACCGGCCACACUGGGACUGAGACACGGCCCAGACUCCUACGGGAGGCAGCAGUGGGGAAUAUUGCACAAUGGGCGCAAGCCUGAUGCAGCAACGCCGCGUGAGGGAUGACGGCCUUCGGGUUGUAAACCUCUUUUAGCAGGGAAGAAGCGAAAGUGACGGUACCUGCAAGAAAAAGCGCCGGCUAACUACGUGCCAGCAGCCGCGGUAAUACGUAGGGCGCAAGCGUUAUCCGGAAUUAUUGGGCGUAAAGAGCUCGUAGGCGGUCUGUCGCGUCUGCUGUGAAAACCCGAGGCUCAACCUCGGGCCUGCAGUGGGUACGGGCAGACUAGAGUGCGGUAGGGGAGAUUGGAAUUCCUGGUGUAGCGGUGGAAUGCGCAGAUAUCAGGAGGAACACCGAUGGCGAAGGCAGAUCUCUGGGCCGUAACUGACGCUGAGGAGCGAAAGGGUGGGGAGCAAACAGGCUUAGAUACCCUGGUAGUCCACCCCGUAAACGUUGGGAACUAGUUGUGGGGUCCAUUCCACGGAUUCCGUGACGCAGCUAACGCAUUAAGUUCCCCGCCUGGGGAGUACGGCCGCAAGGCUAAAACUCAAAGGAAUUGACGGGGACCCGCACAAGCGGCGGAGCAUGCGGAUUAAUUCGAUGCAACGCGAAGAACCUUACCAAGGCUUGACWUAUAGAGGAAACGUCUGGAAACAGUCGCCCCGCAAGGUCUCUAUACAGGUGGUGCAUGGUUGUCGUCAGCUCGUGUCGUGAGAUGUUGGGUUAAGUCCCGCAACGAGCGCAACCCUCGUUCUAUGUUGCCAGCACGUAAUGGUGGGAACUCAUGGGAUACUGCCGGGGUCAACUCGGAGGAAGGUGGGGAUGACGUCAAAUCAUCAUGCCCCUUAUGUCUUGGGCUUCACGCAUGCUACAAUGGCCGGUACAAAGGGCUGCAAUACCGUGAGGUGGAGCGAAUCCCAAAAAGCCGGUCCCAGUUCGGAUUGAGGUCUGCAACUCGACCUCAUGAAGUCGGAGUCGCUAGUAAUCGCAGAUCAGCAACGCUGCGGUGAAUACGUUCCCGGGUCUUGUACACACCGCCCGUCAAGUCAUGAAAGUCGGUAACACCUGAAGCCGGUGGCCCAACCCUUGUGGAGGGAGCCGUCGAU